GGGGGUGUAGCUCAGUUGGCAGAGCGCUACGUUCGCAUCGUAGAGGCCAGGAGUUCAAUUCUCCUCAUCUCCA
RNAcentral lists this transfer RNA (73 nucleotides) under Actinomycetes bacterium. Its description in RNAcentral is "tRNA-Ala". It matches the Rfam family "tRNA". Rfam says of the family: Transfer RNA (tRNA) molecules are approximately 80 nucleotides in length. Their secondary structure includes four short double-helical elements and three loops (D, anti-codon, and T loops). The record is from RNAcentral. RNAcentral also lists the same sequence under 2 other names. Lineage: Bacteria; Bacillati; Actinomycetota; Actinomycetes.